AGUGAACGCUGGCGGUAGGCCUAACACAUGCAAGUCGAACGGCAGCACAGGAGAGCUUGCUCUCUGGGUGGCGAGUGGCGGACGGGUGAGGAAUACAUCGGAAUCUACUCUGUCGUGGGGGAUAACGUAGGGAAACUUACGCUAAUACCGCAUACGACCUACGGGUGAAAGCAGGGGACCUUCGGGCCUUGCGCGAUUGAAUGAGCCGGUGUCGGAUUAGCUAGUUGGCGGGGUAAAGGCCCACCAAGGCGACGAUCCGUAGCUGGUCUGAGAGGAUGAUCGGCCACACUGGACAGGGGACACGGUCCAGACUCCUACGGGAGGCAGCAGUGGGGAAUAUUGGACAAUGGGCGCAAGCCUGAUCCAGCCAUACCGCGUGGGUGAAGAAGGCCUUCGGGUUGUAAAGCCCUUUUGUUGGGAAAGAAAUCCAGCUGGCUAGUACCCGGUUGGGAUGACGGUACCCAAAGAAUAAGCACCGGCUAACUUCGUGCCAGCCGCCGCCGUAA
Molecule: ribosomal RNA, 506 nt
Filed under: uncultured bacterium
Lineage: Bacteria
Description: partial 16S ribosomal RNA
Rfam family: Bacterial small subunit ribosomal RNA
Source: RNAcentral